This 508-nucleotide ribosomal RNA is filed under the name uncultured bacterium. RNAcentral describes it as "partial 16S ribosomal RNA". It matches the Rfam family "Bacterial small subunit ribosomal RNA", at positions 29 to 523 of the family's 1533-position model. The record is from RNAcentral.
AUUGAACGCUGGCGGCAUGCCUUACACAUGCAAGUCGAACGGCAGCGGGGGAGAAGCUUGCUUUUCCUGCCGGCGAGUGGCGAACGGGUGAGUAAUACAUCGGAACGUGCCCUGUAGUGGGGGAUAACUAGUCGAAAGAUUAGCUAAUACCGCAUACGACCCGAGGGUGAAAGUGGGGGACCGCAAGGCCUCAUGCUAUAGGAGCGGCCGAUGUCUGAUUAGCUAGUUGGUGGGGUAAAGGCCUACCAAGGCGACGAUCAGUAGCUGGUCUGGGAGGACGAUCAGCCAGACUGGGACUGAGACACGGCCCAGACGCCUACGGGAGGCAGCAGUGGGGAAUUUUGGACAAUGGGCGAAAGCCUGAUCCAGCAAUGCCGCGUGUGUGAAGACGGCCUUCGGGUUGUAAAGCACUUUUGUCCGGAAAGAAAUGGCUCUGGUUAAUACCUGGGGUCGAUGACGGUACCGGAAGAAUAAGGACCGGCUAACGACGUGCCAGCCGCCGCGGUAA